Molecule: long non-coding RNA, 449 nt
Organism: Nematostella vectensis (starlet sea anemone)
Lineage: Eukaryota; Metazoa; Cnidaria; Anthozoa; Actiniaria; Edwardsiidae
Exons: 2
Source: RefSeq, a predicted model, not a curated record
GGUGACUACAUGGUUGAAAGAAAAAACAGUUGCGUUUCUAAGGUAAUUUUUAAAGAUAUAUGGCUCGCUUUUAUUGUCGCUUUUUCCUUAUGACUGAAUUAUCAAAUUUAUCGCAUGAAAAAAGGAGAAUCGCACAAAGAAGGACGAAGAGCAAACGAACACGUAUGCGAAAAAACAGUGACGCGACACAACGAAGCCAAGCGCGAAGAAAGCUAUGUUAGCAGGGAGAAUCGCACAAAGAAGGACGUUUUGUGUAUCAGUACACUAUGUGUGUUAAUAGGGACCCAGUUAGCUCUCGACCAGCUCUGUGAUCACAUGUAAACCAUCACCACUUUUAAUUCUUUCUUAUCUAGUACUAGAACAUUUGUUGUUCUUUUUCUUCUUCUAAUCUUUUAAUUAUUCGAUGAAAAUUCAAUGGAUAAAUAAAAAAAAUACAUUGUAAAAUCGUA